AUCCAAACUCCCAAAACCAUGUCAGACGAUCAAGAUAGGCUCGUCUCUUGUUUCUGCGAAACAACAGGUCUUGAUCCGGGAAGAGCUAGAUUCUAUCUUGAAGGCUCACAGUGGGAUCUACAAACAGCUCUCAGUAGUUACUUUGACGACGCACCAGACUCUCAUUCUCAUUCUGCAAGUGCGCCACAGCAUUUAUCAGCAUCUCGUGAUGUUGGUGGCUUCAGAACUAUGCAUGAUAUCUUGGCGUCACAUUCUAAUAAAUCAAGCGAUGAUGACAAAGAUGAAGGUCAGGAGUUUUAUGCUGGUGGAUCAGAGCAUGCCAGUGGAACUGUAAUAACUGGACCACCUAAGAAGGCUCCAACUGCAAGAGAGCUGGCUGAGGCUGUGUUUGAAGCUGGAAAGAGGCAAGGUGCUAAGUCUGUUGAUGAGGAAAGUGCAAGCAGACCAAAACAACCACAAAAGUUUAGAGGAACUGGAUACAGGUUAGGGGAAACUGCUGGAAACUCGGAGAAAAUUGCAGAUGAUACAGUUGAAGCUCUGCCAGAAGUGAGGCGCAAACUGACUUUUUGGGCAAAUGGGUUUUGUAUUGAUGAUGGUCCUUUACGGGAUGGCAGCUCAGACAAAGAUCGUGCUUUUAUCGAAAGCGUGACAAAAGGUCAAAUUCCAGACGAGUUGGUUUCAGAAGCUCAAGGAAGUGAAGUUCAUGUCAAUGUGGAAGAUCGCCGUGAAGAGCAGUAUAGGCAACCUAAGCCUGUUCUUAAACCAUUUUCUGGUGAAGGUCAUAAACUGGGAAAUCCAGACAUUGGUGACACAUCAGUGGCAGCUCGUGGUCUGGCAGCAACAAGUGCAAAUGUGGUUGUUGCCGGUUUUUCAAGUCACAUGUCUGUUGAUUCAAGUCAACCUUGCACUUCAAUUCAGAUUCGUUUGGCAAAUGGAACAAGUCUUGACUUCCUAACGCUCUGUAAUGUUGCGUAUUGAAGCUUAGUUCCUCACAAGCCAAGUUUUCUAGCUGGCUUAUAUUCAAGACAGGCUUCACUUCAAGUCAGGCUUCUAUGCAGUGAUUCUUUGUCAUUGCUAACACUUUAGCUGGUUUCUCACUCCACUAGUUUUGUAAUCAAAUCUGACUGGCAUCCAAUUUUGAAUAGAACAAUGUGUAGGAUUACAGAACAGCCACAACAACAACAAAAACAACAACAACAACAACAACAACAGUAAAAGAUACCACAAACUAACCCUAACAAUGCUUUCAUCCAUCGAAUGUGCUUUUGUUGCUGCAAGGUAAGAACUGUCUUUUCACCCUUGGCCACAGCAUGCUGCCUUGAAGGUAACAGUGUACUGUUUCCUUUUGCUGUGGUCUCUGUUCAUGACAGUUGGCAAACAAAAUGGAGCAGAGAGUAGAAAAGUGUACCAGCAGCUGACUGAUACUUGCAAAUCACAUGCGGACGAUUGGCCAAAUAGCUUCUCAUUUACAAGUCUUGGCUUUUAUUUAAGAUCGGCUACCAUGCCAGAGACAAUGUCGAAAACAUCAGCUUCUAUUUGAGACCAGCUUCUAUUCAAGUUGGCUUUAACACAGUUUAUGACUAUCAACUCAGUUUAAUCACAGCCACACUGUUGGAGAUAUACGAAAAUACAUAGAAAGUUGCAGCCCAAUCAACCAAACAUACAUAUUGAUGACGACGUUUCCAAACAAAGAGUUGAGCGAUACCAGCCAGACAAUAGCAGAUGCAAAGUUACUGAAUACAGUUAUCGUACAAAAGCUGACAUAGAAUCUUACAUGUCUGUCUUCAGUUAUUUGCGUUUAGCUUGGAAUGUGUUAGAUGAUACAUGUAGCUGCAGUGGUAUUAUUGUUGAUGCAUAAGUCUAAAUUACCGACAUGUACAAUA
Molecule: RNA transcript, 1883 nt
Organism: Corticium candelabrum
Lineage: Eukaryota; Metazoa; Porifera; Homoscleromorpha; Homosclerophorida; Plakinidae
Gene name: NSFL1 cofactor p47-like
Exons: 11
Source: RefSeq, a predicted model, not a curated record